UGGGGGAUAUUGCACAAUGGGCGAAAGCCUGAUGCAGCGACGCCGCGUGGGGGAUGAAGGCCUUCGGGUUGUAAACUUCUUUUGCUCUGAACAAGGCGCACCAUGGGGUGUGUUGAGUGUAGGGGUUGAUUAGCGCCGGCUAACUACGUGCCAGCAGCCGCGGUAAUACGUAGGGCGCGAGCGUUGUCCGGAAUUAUUGGGCGUAAAGGGCUUGUAGGUGGCUGGUUGCGUCUGUCGUGAAAGCUCAUGGCUUAACUGUGGGUUUGCGGUGGGUACGGGCUGGCUUGAGUGCAGUAGGGGAGGGUGGAAUUCCUGGUGUAGCGGUGGAAUGCGCAGAUAUCAGGAGGAAUACCGGUGGCGAAGGCGGGUCUCUGGGCUGUUACUGACACUGAGGAGCGAAAGCAUGGGGAGCGAGCAGG
This 419-nucleotide ribosomal RNA is filed under the name bacterium. RNAcentral describes it as "partial 16S ribosomal RNA". It matches the Rfam family "Bacterial small subunit ribosomal RNA", at positions 355 to 776 of the family's 1533-position model. The record is from RNAcentral.